Molecule: transfer RNA, 66 nt
Filed under: human gut metagenome
Rfam family: tRNA
About the family: Transfer RNA (tRNA) molecules are approximately 80 nucleotides in length. Their secondary structure includes four short double-helical elements and three loops (D, anti-codon, and T loops). Further hydrogen bonds mediate the characteristic L-shaped molecular structure. tRNAs have two regions of fundamental functional importance: the anti-codon, which is responsible for specific mRNA codon recognition, and the 3' end, to which the tRNAs corresponding amino acid is attached (by aminoacyl-tRNA synthetases). tRNAs cope with the degeneracy of the genetic code in two manners: having more than one tRNA (with a specific anti-codon) for a particular amino acid; and 'wobble' base-pairing, i.e. permitting non-standard base-pairing at the 3rd anti-codon position.
Source: RNAcentral
UACGUAGCUCAGUCGGUAGAGCACUUCCUUGGUAAGGAAGAGGUCGCCGGUUCGAUUCCGUUCGUA